RNAcentral lists this long non-coding RNA (5128 nucleotides) under Homo sapiens (human). RNAcentral's name for it is "HSALNT0293285". Lineage: Eukaryota; Metazoa; Chordata; Mammalia; Primates; Hominidae. The record is from RNAcentral.
CCGGCUUUAGAACUCUGCGGUUUUGUGGAGCUCGAGAGUCCGGGACAAGAUAUCUAUUGGAUGCUGAUGAUUAUGAAACAAAGUAGCAAAGAUAAGAAGCCAUUUGCUCAUUCUGCUCCUUUGCCAGCAAUAUUUCACAAAGCCCCUGACUCAUUGACUGUGAGCAGCCUUGUGGAAGAAUGCCUUGAAGACCAUAAGCAGGAUAGGGAAUAGGUUUGCACAUCUCUUGCCUGAAUCACUGAAUUUUUACAAAAGGUAAGUUUGGUGAUCCUAGCCCUUGCCUCUUCCUGUACAUAAGAUAAUGUCUGACAAGAUUAAUGAUUAUGCCUCAAAUUCAUGACCAGAUGUAACUUCAUACCCACACUUUGAUGAGACUUUACUUGUAUUAACCCAUUUUCAUACUGCUAUGAAGAAAUACCCAAGACUGCAUAAUUUCUAAAGAAAAAGGCUUAGUGGACUCACAGUUCCACAUGGCUGGGGAAGCCUCACAAUCAUGGUAGAAGAUGAAGAAGGAGCAAAGGCACAUCUUACAUGGCAGCAGGUGAGAGAGCAUGUGCAGAGGAACUACCCUUUAUAAAACCAUCAGAGGCCAGGUGCAGUGGCUCACACCUGUAAUCCUAGCACUUUGGGAGGCCGAGGCAGGCAGAUCAUCUGAGGUCAGGCAUUCAAGACCAGCCUGGCCAACAUGGCAAAACCCCAUGUUUCAAAAUUAGCUCAGUGUGGGGGCACAUGCCUGUAAUACCAGCUACUAGGGAGGCUGAGGCAGGAGAAUCGCUUGAACCUGGGAGGCAGAGGUUGCAGUGAGCCAAGAUCACGCUACUGUACUCCAGCCUGGGCAACAGAGCCAGACUUUGUCUCAAAAAAUAAAAUGAAAUAAAAUAAAAAUAAAUAAAUAGAUAGAUAAAUAAAACCAUCAGAGCUCGUGAGAACUCACUACCAUGACAACAUGAGGGUAACUGAUCCCAUAAUUAAAUUACUUCCCAUCAGGUCCCUCCCUUGACACUUGGGGAUUAUGGGAGCUACAAUUCAAGAUGAGAUUUGGGUUGGGACACAGCCAAACCAUAUCAUUCCACCCUGGCCCCUCCAAAAUCUCCUGUCCUCACAUUUCAAAAGCAAUCAUGCCUUACCAGCAGUCCCCCAAAGUCUUAACUCAUUUCAGCAUUAACUCAAAAGUCUACAGUCCAAAGUCUCAUCUGAGACAAGGCAAGUCCCUUCUGCCUAUGAGCUUGUAAAAUCAUAAGCAAGUUAAGUUACUUCCUAAAUACAAUGGGGGUACAAGCAUUGGGUAAAUACACCCAUUCCAAAUGGGAGAAAUAGGCCAAAAUGAAGGGACUACAGGGCCCAUGCAAGUCCAAAAUCCAGCAGGGCAGUCAAAUCUUAAAGCUCCAAAAUGAUCUGCUUUGACUCCGUGUCUCACAUCCAGUUCACGUUGAUACAAGAGGUAGGUUGCCAUGGUCUUGGGCAGCUCUGCCCCUGUGGCUUUGCAAGAUACAGCCUCCUUCCCAGCUGCUUUAACAGGCUGGCAUUGAGUGUCUCUGGCUUUCCCAGGCAUAUGCUGCAAGCUGUUGGUGGAUCUACCAUCCUGGGGUCUGGAGGAUGGUGGCCCUCUUCUCACAGCUCCACUAGGCACUGCCCCAGUGGGGACUCUGUGUGGGGGAUCCCACCCCACAUUUCCCUUCUGCAUUGCCCUUCUGCCUUAGCAGAGGUCGUGCAUGAGGGCCCUGCCCCUGCAGCACACCUCUGCCUGAACAUCCGGGUGUUUCCAUACAUCCUCUGAAAUCUAGGCAGGGUUCCCAAACCUCAAUUCUUGACUUCCGUGCACCCACAGUCCCAAUAUCACAUGUGAGCAGCCUGAGACUGCACAAAGCAGCAAGGCCCUGGGCCCAGCCCAUAAACCCAUUUUUCCUCCUUGGCCUCCUGGCUUGUGAUGAGAGGGACUUCCAGGAAGACCUCUUACAUGCCCUGGAGACAUUUUUCCCAUUGUCGUGGUAAUUAACAUGUGGCUUCUUGUUACUUAUGCAAAUUUCUGCAGCAGGCUUGAAUUUCUCCGCAAAAAAUGGGUUUUUCUUUUCUAUCACGUCAUCAGGCUGCAAGUUUUCCUUUUAUGCUCUGCUUCCUCUUGAACGCUUUGCCACUUAGAAAUUUCUUCCCUCAGGUACCCUAAAUCAUCUCUCUAAAGUUCAAAGUUCCACAGAUAACUAGGGCAGGGGCAAAAUGCCACCAGUCUCUUUGCUAAAGCAUAGCAAGAGUGACCUUUAUUCCAUUUCCCAACAAGUUCCUCAUCUCCAUCUGAGACCACCUCAGCCUGGACUUCUUUGUCCGUAUCCCUAUUAGCCUUCUGAUCAAAGCCAUUCAACAAGUCUCUAGGAAGUUCCAAACUUUCCUACAUCUUUCUGUCUUCUGAGCCCUCCAAGUCUCUAGGAAGUUCCAGAGUUUCCCACAUUUUCCUGUCUUCUUCUGAGCCCUCCAAACUGUUCCAACCUCUGCCUGUUACCCUGUUCCAAAGUUGCUUCAACAUUUUCUGUUAACCUUAUAGCAGAGCCCCACUACCUCAGUUCCAAUUUACUGUAUUAGUCCAUUUUCAUACUACUGUGAAGAAAUAGCCAAGACUGGGUAAUUUAUAAAGAAAAAGAGGUUCAGUGGACUCACAGUUCCACAUGGCUGGGGAGGCCUCACAAUCGUGACAGAAGGCAAAGGAGGAGCAAAGACACAUCUUACCUGGCAGCAAGGCAAGAGAGAGAGCAUGUGCGGAGGAACUGCCCUUUAUGAAACCAUCAGAUUUCCUGAGAUUUAUUCACUAUCAUGAGACCAGCAGGGGAAAAACUUGCCCCCAUGAUUAAAUUACUUCCCACCGGGUCCUACCAUUGACACAUGGGGAUUAUGGGAGCUACAAUUCAAGAUGAGAUUUGAGUGGGGACACAGCCAAACCAUGUCAUUAAUGUAAUUUCUGAGCACAUUUGAUGUAACUUCUUAACACAUGCAGAGCAACCACCACCUAUGUUUAAGCUAUGGGGUGAAUCAAUGCUUUGCAGCAAUAUAACAAACUCUUUGAAAGAUUCUCCCAGGUUGCAGUACUCAGUAGGACUUCUGAAUAAAAUUAACUUUAAUUAUUUAAAAGCCUGUUUUUUUUUCUUUAGUUGACAUAACAUACCAGGAUAUUGUAGCUGGAAAUACAUAGGAGGUUCUUGCUCUCACGAACCUUACAUUCCAGUAAGGAAAACAGACAAUAAGAAAAAAGAAAAAUGAAUACAAUAAAUUCUCAUGGUGAUACAAAUAAGGUAAGAUGACAGAAACUGAAGGGAGAGGGAGACACUACUUCAGUGAGGUGGUCAGUGAAAACCUCUCUGCAAAGGUGGUGUGAAAUCUGAGACCUGAAUGACAAGAAAGAACUAGCGAUGCAAACAUCUGCGGGUGGCACAUUUCUAAUAUUUAUUUUUUACUAGUUUUAUUUUGUGUUAAUUUUACGUUUAACUAUCUGGAAUAUAUUUUGGUACAGGAGUCCCCCUUAUCCAAGGGGGAUAUGUAUCAAGCCCCCCAGUGGAUACCUGAAAUCACAGAUAGCGCUGAACCCUAUAUGUACUGUUUUUUCCUACAUAUAUGUAUCUAUGAUAAAGUUUAAUUUAUAAAUUAGGCAUAGUAAGAUAUUUACAAAAAUAAUAAUAAAAUUGAACAGUUAUAACAAUAUACUGUAUAAAUCUUAUGUGAAUGUGAUCUCUCUCUCUCUCAAAAUCUGCCAUACUUACCUAUUGCCAGACCACAGUUGACCAUGGCUAACUGAAAUCAUGGAAAGCAAAACCACAAAUAGGGAGGGCUACUGUAUGUUCUAUAAGAUAAUAUGUGAAUUGUCUAUUGCUACAUAACAAACCACCCAAAACUUUGUGAUGUGUCCAAGCCCAAGGAUGCAAGGUUUCCAAGCUUCCAGAUCCCAAGGAUACCAGGAAACAGGAUUCCCAGGAGGCCAUUGCUAUAAUGAUCUACCACUAUUUUUACCAAAACUGGUAUUUGUAUUAGGCUGUUCUCCCAUUGCUGUAAAGAAAUACCUGAGACUGGCUAAUUUGUAAAGAAAAGAGGUUCCAUAGGCUGUACAGGAAGCAUGAUGCUAGCAUCUUCUCAGCUUCUGGGGAAGCCUCAGGAAACUUACAAUCAUGGUGGAGGGCAAAGUGGGAGUCAGUACGUCACAUGGCCAGAGCAGUGAGAGAGGAGGGAGGUGAUACACACUUUUUAAAUGGCCAGAUGUCAGGAGAACUCACUAUCCUGAGGACAGUACCAAGGGAGAUGCUGCUAAACCAUUCAUGAGUAAUCCACUCAUCCACCACCACGAUCCAAUCACCUCCCACAAGGCCCCACCUCCAAUAUUGGGGAUCACAACCCCACAUGAGAUUUGGGUGGGGACACAGAUUCUGUAUCAGUGUUGUUAUUCAAAAAAUUUUGUACAUAGUCCUUACCUUUCCCAUUUCCUUGUGAUAUUCCUUUAUGAAAUUGUUAGAAGAAAUAGAAUAUUUCAGCUGGGUGCAGCCGGUAAUCCCAGCACUUUGGGAGGCUGAAGCGGGUGGACCAUAUGAGACCAGGAGUUCUGAGAUCAGCCUGGCCAACAUGGCGAAACCCCAUCUCUACUAAAAAUACAAAAAUUAGCUGGGCGUGGUGGUACAUGCCUAAAAUACCAGCUACUUGGGAGGCUGAGGCACGAGAAUUGUUUGAACCUGGGAGACAGAGGUUGCAGUGAGCCAAGAUCGCACCACCGCACUCCAACCUGGGCAACAGAGCGAAACUGUCUCAAAAAAAAGAAAAAGGCGGUAUUUCUAGGUAUUCUGUUCCUUCUACACAACUAUUUUGAGGCCAGUGCCAUGUUAAUUAUUGUUGCUUUUAAUAUGUCCUAAUAUUUAACCAUUAGGGCUAACCAUUUUGCUAUUUCAUUUUUCACAAAAUUAUUGAUUUCACCUGAAAAUUUUCUAACCAAAUUUUACACAAAUUUGUUCAAGUUAAAAGAAAUGCUACUUGGAUUUUUAGUGGGAUUAUACAAAAUCUAUUAAUAAGUUUAAUAGAAACUGACAUCUUUAUAUUUACUCUUCUCAUCUGAGAACAUGGAGAUCUAUUUAUUUGAGAGAUUUUAAAAAAUUAUUUUUGGCCA